UGAAGCGGCAACAGCUCAAAUUUGAAAUCUGGCCUCUUUGGGGUCCGAGUUGUAAUUUGUAGAGGAUGUUUCGGGCACCGCUCCGGUUUAAAUUUCUUGGAACAGAAUGUCAAAGAGGGUGAGAACCCCGUCUUGGACCGGCAGUAGGGCCCAUGUGAAACUCCUUCGACGAGUCGAGUUGUUUGGGAAUGCAGCUCAAAAUGGGUGGUAAAUUUCAUCUAAAGCUAAAUAUUGGCCAGAGACCGAUAGCGCACAAGUAGAGUGAUCGAAAGAUGAAAAGCACUUUGAAAAGAGAGUUAAACAGUACGUGAAAUUGUUGAAAGGGAAGCGCUUGCAACCAGACUUGCGCGCGGCGGUUCCCCCUUCCUUUUGGUUGGGUUAUUCCGCCGUGUCCAGGCCAACAUCGGUUCUGGGGGUCGGUUAAAGGCCUGGGGAAUGUAUCUACCCUUCGGGCGUAGACUUAUAGCCCCGGGUGUCAUGCGACCUCCCGGGACCGAGGAACGCGCUUCGGCUCGGAUGUUGGCGUAAUGGUUGUCAGCGACCCGUCUUGAAACACGGACCA
RNAcentral lists this ribosomal RNA (562 nucleotides) under Exophiala dermatitidis. RNAcentral's name for it is "eukaryotic LSU rRNA". It matches the Rfam family "Eukaryotic large subunit ribosomal RNA", at positions 94 to 668 of the family's 3401-position model. Lineage: Eukaryota; Fungi; Ascomycota; Eurotiomycetes; Chaetothyriales; Herpotrichiellaceae. The record is from RNAcentral.